AGUGAACGCUGGCGGUAGGCCUAACACAUGCAAGUCGAACGGCAGCACAGUAAGAGCUUGCUCUUACGGGUGGCGAGUGGCGGACGGGUGAGGAAUACAUCGGAAUCUACUUUUUCGUGGGGGAUAACGUAGGGAAACUUACGCUAAUACCGCAUACGACCUACGGGUGAAAGCAGGGGAUCUUCGGACCUUGCGCGAUUGAAUGAGCCGAUGUCGGAUUAGCUAGUUGGCGGGGUAAAGGCCCACCAAGGCGGCGAUCCGUAGCUGGUCUGAGAGGAUGAUCACCCACCCUGGACUUGAGACACGGUCCAGACCCCUACGGAGGCAGCAGUGGGGAAUAUUGGACAAUGGGCGCAAGCCUGAUCCAGCCAUACCGCGUGGGUGAAGAAGGCCUUCGGGUUGUAAAGCCCUUUUGUUGGGAAAGAGAAGCAGCAGGUUAAUACCCCGCUGUUCUGACGGUACCCAAAGAAUAAGCACCGGCUAACUUCGUG
RNAcentral lists this ribosomal RNA (491 nucleotides) under uncultured bacterium. Its description in RNAcentral is "partial 16S ribosomal RNA". It matches the Rfam family "Bacterial small subunit ribosomal RNA", at positions 29 to 507 of the family's 1533-position model. The record is from RNAcentral.